Molecule: ribosomal RNA, 188 nt
Filed under: uncultured Herbaspirillum sp.
Lineage: Bacteria; Pseudomonadati; Pseudomonadota; Betaproteobacteria; Burkholderiales; Oxalobacteraceae
Description: partial 16S ribosomal RNA
Rfam family: Bacterial small subunit ribosomal RNA
Source: RNAcentral
GGACGUGAAUUUUGGACAAUGGAGGGCAACCCUGAUCCAGCAAUGCCGCGUGAGUGAAGAAGGCCUUCGGGUUGUAAAGCUCUUUUGUCAGGGAAGAAACGGUAGUAGCGAAUAACUAUUACUAAUGACGGUACCUGAAGAAUAAGCACCGGCUAACUACGUGCCAGCAGCCGCGGUAAAAAAAAAAA